UCCCUGGCAGUCCAGUGGUUAAGACUUUGCCUUUCAAUGCAAGGGGUGUAGGUUCGAUCCCUGCUCUGGGAG
This 72-nucleotide transfer RNA is filed under the name Bos taurus (domestic cattle). It matches the Rfam family "tRNA". Rfam says of the family: Transfer RNA (tRNA) molecules are approximately 80 nucleotides in length. Their secondary structure includes four short double-helical elements and three loops (D, anti-codon, and T loops). The record is from Rfam by way of RNAcentral. Lineage: Eukaryota; Metazoa; Chordata; Mammalia; Artiodactyla; Bovidae. RNAcentral also lists the same sequence under 4 other names.